This 595-nucleotide long non-coding RNA is filed under the name Pogona vitticeps (central bearded dragon). RNAcentral describes it as "lncRNA (ENSPVIG00000000521.1)". Lineage: Eukaryota; Metazoa; Chordata; Lepidosauria; Squamata; Agamidae. The record is from RNAcentral.
UUCUCCCCCCCACCCCCUUUCAAACAUGUCCCACCCAUCUUAGCCUGGUGCAGUUCCUUCAGCUGCUCCUAUACUUGGUAUGACCUUUUCUCAUCCCCACCCCCUUUCGACUCCCUCCUCUCUCUUUCCUUGCUCUUUCCCUCCUUAUGUUGUGAGUGUGAUGGCCAAUGGGCUUCUCUAGAAGAUCAAAUGUCACUAUAACAGGAGGACUUAAUCACCUCGUUGAGUUUGCAGACCCUGCAGCCUGUCCCAUUCGGCAGAAAGCUCCUCGCUUCUCUCAGCUCUCCCCUCUCAGAAACCUACUGCCAACAUGUCUGAUACCGAAGAAGUGGAGCAAGUAGAGGGUGAGUAUGAAAUGCCACAAAAUGCUUCAUUUUUCCUGAUUUCCUUUUUGAACGUGCAUUCAUUUUUUAAAAAAUGUACUCAGUAACAUCUGAUAUUAAAUUUUUUUUAUUCAGUUAAAAUUAUCUAUGUCUUGAAGAUAUCUCUUAACUUUUUCCAGCCCCUUUUCCUUAUUCCAUACCCCUAUUUUGUCUGUGACCCUGUUUGGUCAGAGGAGAUGGCUGUGGAAUAAAGCAGCUACUUGGCAUGAACA